This is an RNA transcript of Haliotis rubra (blacklip abalone), 2805 nucleotides long. It is a transcript of the gene named transmembrane protein adipocyte-associated 1 homolog, with no coding region annotated. The transcript has 13 exons. NCBI's taxonomy places the organism in Eukaryota, Metazoa, Mollusca, Gastropoda, Lepetellida, Haliotidae. The record is from RefSeq and is a predicted model, not a curated record.
ACUUUUAGUCUGCGUUUCUUUUCCGGUUAAAACUAUUCCUUGUGUACUGAUGUCACAACAGAUCAGGUGGUCAGCUACGAGAUAAAAGUUUCUUUUGUGAGUGAACUUGGCAUUAGUUACAAUAAUGGCGUGAGGUAACAGAGACAUGGAGAGUGACUCAACCUUCAUUGUUCAAGGAAUCACAAGAUUAACACUUGAACUCAGAUGAUUCAUGGUCCACAGAGAUUGGCGAUUCAGUGAAACAUCUGUUGUUGAAUGGCUGUUGCACAUUUCAGUAUUUCCCCAACCAUGGUGACUCAUGGAAUGAAAUCAAACAUUUUUGACGACAAGGUUUUACAUGUGUCAGGCAAUUCCAGUACAACACUGACCCCGCCACUGAUGAACUCCCCCAUGUUGAGAAACGGCUCCUUCAUUCCUUCAGCAGUAAUCUCACAACCCCCCUGUCAGUGGAUUCUGUACGCUGAUGUUGGCAACUCAGGGGUGAGGAUCUGGGAUCUCAUCAUCCUCAUCCCCAAUGCACUGUUCCUGAUGUUCCUGCUAUGGCGUCUCAAGUCCACCGUCUCCAAGCUCAGGACACACACAAGCCCCAUCUUCAUGGCCUUCUAUUUUCUUGUGUUCCUGGUAGCAGUGAUCAGCGUCUUGCGGUGUAUUGUGUCAAUGACAGUCAAUGCAUCUGUCCUGGCAGGAGAUAUAGCAGACAAGGUGCUGUGGUUGAUCCUGCGGUUUUUCCUGCUGGCGACUGAGCUGUCAGUUGUCACCUUCGGUCUGGCAUUUGGUCAUCUGGACAGUCAUACAAGUAUCCGCCGGGUGGUGGUUGUCACCUUCACUGUAGCACUUGCCUACUCCUGUACCCAGGGAACACUUGAGUUUGUGCGUCCGGACCCAAAGUUCCAUGUGGAGUCUGGUGCAAAUGCUACGGAGAACUUUGACAUCUUUGCCCAUGGUGGCAUGAUCUUCUGGUUCUCAAGUUCCCUCUUCUUCUCUAUUGUGUAUAGUGUUAUAUUUAUCCUUCCGUGGACAAACCUGAAGACCAAGCUCUCACUUCCUUCCAGAAAGUCCUUCUACUACUAUUCUCUGUUCCUGGCCAUCUUGAACCUGACUCAGGCUGUUGGCAGUGGACUCAUCUACUUCAGUGUGGGGAGGGGUCUGUGUGUGGUGGAUGUCACGACGUAUGUCUACUUCACGUGUUUCGAUCCCCUCGUCUACGGGACAUUCUUGAGGGAGUUCUUCAGCAUCUCCAUCCCAAGCAUCCCGUUCUCUUACAAGCAUCAGGUGGACGAGAUCCCCGACGAGGACACGCUCAGCCUGCCGUACCAGACGCCCUUCGAGCGGGACAAGGACGAGGGUGUGGCCUUCAGCAACAGCUUUGACAGCACCCACUUCAACCGACAGAGUCAAGCCAGUUCACCUAAUGGUUCUGUUAACACAGUGCCACCUAGUCUCUCCAUCAACAGCGAUUACUAUCAGGCUUCGGCCUAAGGGGAGAUAACUGCCGACAUCCCAUCGUGCUAGGAGCCUUGAUGUUGUGAAGCGGGUUUCCCAGUACCUUCAAUAUGCUGUUGUAGAAGUCCAGAGAGGCAAUGGCAACAUGUUAUUUAAUUUGUUGUCCUGCUAUAUGUGAUGUAGAUAAUGCAUUUGUGUGGAGCCUAUGAUCUGCAUACACACAUGUGUACUAGGAUGGCUGAGCUGAUGGUGUACUUAUAUAGUGUCGCAGAUACAGGCCAACUGAGCACAGGCCCCUGUCUUUGAGGGUUGCAGAAACUGGACGCUGCGUGACUCUGCCUUGUUGCCUUUAGAAAGGGAUUAAACUGGCACUUGUCUGUAUCUCCUCAGAAUUGUAGAAGCAACUUGUAGAAUUCAGUGACAACUUGAGAAUUCUUGCCACACUCUUGGACAACAGGAAUAUUGUGAUGUUUUUCUGCGAAUCUGUGAGUCUGUGACUUAGGGAAUCUGAGAUGUUUCUGUGAACUCAUCGCAAGUGAACUUCUUGUCUGCCAUUUUGUGUAGUUGUCUAGUCUGCUGAUAUCUGGUUCAAUAAGCAUCUUACAGCAGCAUUGUUCUGUGUGGAAGUAGGGACAGCCUUCUGCUCGACAGGUCUGAACAAGCAGAUGCUCAUACUGGUGAGAGUUGUGUCCCUUGAUACACUGACUGUUAAGGCAGACUCCGGCAGAGGAUGUUGUAUGGCUGACUGUUAUUGGUGGCCUCAGGGUAAAGCUAAGUGACAUGGAGUGAUCGCUGAGUCGUGACAAAUAGAAACAUAAUGGUCUGAUGUUCAUUAUAUGACUAAUCGUUGUUUGUGUUGUAGCAUGUUUUGCUGUGCAGUGUUUACACUUAUAUGAUGAACAAAAAUAUCAGUUUCCAUGGUAACCUGGCGUGAUAGCAUUGAGUUGUGGGAAUGACUGACUAUGUAACUUCUUUAAGUUGUUUAGCUCAUGUUAUGUAUCAUAAUAUUGUACAUGUGAUUAUAUCAAAAGAUCUUUUGUUUGUGUUUCCUGCUGGUCCCCACCAGACCAUGUAGACAAGAAGGAUUGGUACAUUGUGAGUAACACUACCUUAUUUCAUCCCACCAAGUGAUGAUUUGUAAUACAUGUUGCCUAUUGAAAUCCUGAAGUAGUUUAGACUUAAUUGGUGCAGGUGGGAAAAUGUACUGUUUAUAAACAUGAUGAACAAAACUGUACUGUUUAUAAACAUGAUAAACAAGUAAACAUGUAGCCUUGACUAUGGACCUGUAGAUGAGGUUCGGGUUAGCGAGUGGUCCAGGGCAAUUGUCCUCUGUGUAGAGAUGCGCCAUAUAGUCAUGCCAGC